CAUAUGCUUGUCUCAAAGAUUAAGCCAUGCAUGUCUGAGUACAGACCGAUCUAAGGUGAAACCGCGGAAUGGCUCAUUAAAUCAGUCAUAAUUCCUUGGAUAGUGAAAAACUUUCCUCGGAUAACUGUGGAAAAUCCAGAGCUAAUACGUGCAACUGAGCUCCGACCUAGGCGUAAGUCUUGGGAAGAGCGCAUUUAUUAGAUUCAAAACUGACCGGUGUACUCCUUCGGGAUACGCCGUUUGUCAAAUGUUUGAUGACUCCGGAUAACUUAGCCGAGCGCUACGGUCUUUAGUACCGGCGCCGUAUCUUUCAAGUGUCUGCCUUAUCAGCUUUCGAUUGUAGGUUAAACGCCUACAAUGGCUGUAACGGGUAACGGGGAAUCAGGGUUCGAUUCCGGAGAGGGAGCCUGAGAAACGGCUACCACAUCUAAGGAAGGCAGCAGGCACGUAAAUUACCCACUCCCAGCCCGGGGAGGUAGUGACGAAAAAUAACGAUGCGAGACUCUUCCGAGGCCUCGCAAUCGGAAUGAGUCCAUUUUAAAUCCUUGGACGAGGAUCCAUUGGAGGGCAAGUCUGGUGCCAGCAGCCGCGGUAAUUCCAGCUCCAAUAGCGUAUAUUAAAGUUGCUGCGGUUAAAAAGCUCGUAGUUGAAUCUCCUAGAUCCAUUUCGUGGGCGAGUCGCUCGUUGUGCCGUCGGUGUCGUGCGGUUCCUGGACGAUGUCUCGAAGCGUUUUCUCCUUAUCGGUUUCGGCCGUGUAGGGGGAAUAACGCCCGGGUACUAUUGUCUCGUGGACGGCGAAUCGUGGUCUUCGAGUAUAGCUCGUCCGCGUUUGGUACAAUUAAAAAUUUGUUGGCUCGCUCGGAGUGCUCUUUACCGAGUGUUCCAGGGUGGCCGACACGUUCACUUUGAAAAAAUUAGAGUGCUUAAAGCAUGGCUCAUAUACGGCCUGAAUGUCUGUGCAUGGAAUGAAGUAACAGGACCUCGAUUCUGUUCUUUUUGUCGGUUUUAAUGAACCGAGGUAAUGAUUAAAAGGGACAGACGGUGGCAUUAGUAUUGCGGCGCUAGAGGUGAAAUUCUUGGACCGUCGCAAGACUAACUACUGCGAAAGCAUUUGCCAAGAAUGUUUUCAUUAAUCAAGAACGAAAGUUAGAGGAUCGAAGGCGAUCAGAUACCGCCCUAGUUCUAACCCUAAACUAUGCUAACUAGCGAUCCGCCGGAGUCAUUCCCACGACCCGGCGGGAAGCCCCAGGGAAACCAAAGUCUUUGAGUUCCGGGGGAAGUAUGGUUGCAAAGCUGAAACUUAAAGGAAUUGACGGAAGGGCACCACCAGGAGUGGACUGCGGCUUAAUUUGACUCAACACGGGAAACCUCACCAGGCCCGGACAUUAUAAGGAUUGACAGAUUGAGAGCUCUUUCUCGAAUUAAUGGGUGGUGGUGCAUGGCCGUUCUUAGUUGGUGGAGUGAUCUGUCUGGUUGAUUCCGAUAACGAACGAGACUCUACCCUACUAACUAGUCGGCGGAUCGUAACCCUGAGAUGGUUAGUUUGUAUAGGGGAGUUCGCCUCUGCCAAGUUCGCUCCGGACUGGGAGUUUAUCUCUUUCGUACGGCGCUCGUUUCGAUCGUUAGCUAUUCGCGUAGCGAAUCGGUCGUACGGGCGUAUCGGCGGGGGUUACAUUCUCUCUUACGGUACGCGGCGCUGUAGUGGGCUGCUUUCCGAUUACUGCUACUGCUGGGGGCGUCCGUCGCAAUAUAUCUUCUUAGAGGGAUCAGCGGCGUCUAGUCGCACGAGAAAGAGCAAUAACAGGUCUGUGAUGCCCUUAGAUGUUCUGGGCCGCACGCGCGCUACAAUGUAGGGCUCAGCGUGCUUUCCCUCUCCGAAAGGAGCGGGUAACCCCAUGAAACCCCUACGCGAUUGGGAUUGGGGAUUGCAAAUAUUUCCCAUAAACGAGGAAUUCCCAGUAAGCGCGAAUCAUCAAUUCGUGUUGAUUACGUCCCUGCCCUUUGUACACACCGCCCGUCGCUACUACCGAUUGAAUGAUUCAGUGAGGGCAUCGGACUGGCGCCUUCGUUUAGUAACAUAGACCUUAGGACGACGGAAAGAUGUCCGAACUUGAUCAUUUAGAGGAAGUAAAAGUCGUAACAAGGUUUCCGUAG
This 2154-nucleotide ribosomal RNA is filed under the name Ischnomesus sp. JW-2004. Its description in RNAcentral is "SSU rRNA". It matches the Rfam family "Eukaryotic small subunit ribosomal RNA". Lineage: Eukaryota; Metazoa; Arthropoda; Malacostraca; Isopoda; Ischnomesidae. The record is from RNAcentral.